This 460-nucleotide ribosomal RNA is filed under the name uncultured bacterium. Its description in RNAcentral is "partial 16S ribosomal RNA". It matches the Rfam family "Bacterial small subunit ribosomal RNA", at positions 338 to 795 of the family's 1533-position model. The record is from RNAcentral.
CCUACGGGAGGCAGCAGUGAGGAAUAUUGGUCAAUGGGCGCGAGCCUGAACCAGCCAAGUAGCGUGAAGGAUGACUGCCCUACGGGUUGUAAACUUCUUUUAUAAAGGAAUAAAGUGAGGCACGUGUGCCUUUUUGUAUGUACUUUAUGAAUAAGGCUCGGCUAACUCCGUGCCAGCAGCCGCGGUAAUACGUAGGAUUCGAGCGUUAUCCGGAUUUAUUGGGUUUAAAGGGAGCGUAGAUGGGUGGUUAAGUCAGUUGUGAAAGUUUGCGGCUCAACCGUAAAAUUGCAAUUGAUACUGGCAGUCUUGAGUACAGUUGAGGUAGGCGGAAUUCGUGGUGUAGCGGUGAAAUGCUUAGAUAUCACGAAGAACUCCGAUUGCGAAGGCAGCUUACUAAACUGCCACUGACAUUGAUGCUCGAAAGUGUGGGGAGCAAACAGGAUUAGAUACCCCUGUAGUC